Molecule: ribosomal RNA, 397 nt
Filed under: uncultured bacterium
Lineage: Bacteria
Description: bacterial SSU rRNA
Rfam family: Bacterial small subunit ribosomal RNA
Source: RNAcentral
UCUUGGACAAUGGGGGCAACCCUGAUCCAGCCAUGCCGCGUGAGCGGUGAAGGCCUUAGGGUUGUAAAGCUCUUUCAGCGGGGAAGAUAAUGACGGUACCCGCAGAAGAAGCCCCGGCUAACUCCGUGCCAGCAGCCGCGGUAAUACGGAGGGGGCUAGCGUUGUUCGGAAUUACUGGGCGUAAAGCGCACGUAGGCGGACCUACAAGUCGGGGGUGAAAUCCCGGGGCUCAACCCCGGAACUGCCUCCGAAACUGUCGGUCUGGAGGAUGAGAGAGGCGAGUGGAAUUCCGAGUGUAGAGGUGAAAUUCGUAGAUAUUCGGAGGAACACCAGUGGCGAAGGCGGCUCGCUGGCUCAUUUCUGACGCUGAGGUGCGAAAGCGUGGGGAGCAAACAGG